CCCGCGGAGCCGCUCUCGGGGCGGAGACCUUGCCCAGGGGCACGUCAGCGGUCCUGAGGUGAGGCUCCUGCAGAGCACUCUGGGCCGCGUGUGUCUCUCCCUGCGUGGGCAGGCAGUGUCGGUGGCCGGAGCGAGGGUGUUUUCCCAUCGGGGUGAGAGGGAGAGCCCAGGGUGGGCCUGGGGGCGGAAUCGGACUCGGGUUGGGGUGGACUCUUCUGAAGCUGGAGGGGUGCGGGUGGGCAGGGCCUUAGGGAGCCUGAGGGAGGCGCGGUUCCUGGGGGAAGGGUGUGGCGAGGCGGCGGCAGCCGCGUCGCGCUGUGGCGCCCAGCGAAGGGGCAGUGCUGGCCACUCGUGUGGCCCUUUGGCUGCUGGCACCCAGUGAGAGGGGGGAGGCCAGGGACAGGUGGCAGCCAGGCUGCCCACAGGCCUGGGCGGUGGGGGCCCGGCCCUGUGCCUUGGGCAGCCUGGCCCUUGCUGAGGCGUGCUUGCGCGUGUCCGUUGUCGCCCUCACCAGCUGCUGCGGCGGAGAGACGGAGGCCAGCGCGGGGAGCGGAAGCCGGAGCCUGUCGGGAGCGACCCCGGGAAGGCCAGUCCCUCCUGCCGGUGGGAGGCGUGUUGGCGUGCGGCCGUGGCGGGAUCGAUGGCCACCUGGUAGGCGAUGCUGCUGCGGCGGAGAGACGGAGGCCAGCGCGGGGAGCGGAAGCCGGAGCCUGUCGGGAGCGACCCCGGGAAGGCCAGUCCCUCCUGCCGGUGGGAGGCGUGUUGGCGUGCGGCCGGUGGCGGGAUCGAUGGCCACCUGGUAGGCGAUGCUGCUGCGGCGGAGAGACGGAGGCCAGCGCGGGGAGCGGAAGCCGGAGCCUGUCGGGAGCGACCCCGGGAAGGCCAGUCCCUCCUGCCGGUGGGAGGCGUGUUGGCGUGCGGCCGGUGGCGGGAUCGAUGGCCACCUGGUAGGCGAUGGUAAGCGGCAGUGGCCUGCGCCAAGGUAGCCCCCGGGGGCGGUGUGUGGCGCCCGGACCCGCACCCUCUGCUCCCGGGGGUGGAGCUGACCUGCUUGCCCGCGGUUGGGCUCGGGAGCCUGCGGGCCGCGGCCAGGAGGGAGCUGGCUGGCCGUCCCGGCGGUGGGGGCUGUGGCGGUGGCCGUCCCGCGGGUGUGCCCGUGCUCGGAUCGAUGAUGACACCCACAAACGCAUUCCUUGGAAAAUCUGAACAAAAUGAGUGAGAACUCACUACCGUCUCCUCAUCGCAAACUGAGGUCCGGCACGUGGCUCCCACAGGGGCCGUCGGGGGAGGGUCCCGUUGCCUUGGCUCCCUUGGGUGCGUGCAGCCCUGGGGCGCAGGUGGGAGGCAGGCAGGCCUCCGGUGGCCC
RNAcentral lists this long non-coding RNA (1366 nucleotides) under Sus scrofa (pig). RNAcentral describes it as "lncRNA (ENSSSCG00070003110.1)". The stretch from base 1163 to 1256 matches the Rfam family "Small nucleolar RNA SNORD116". The record is from RNAcentral. Lineage: Eukaryota; Metazoa; Chordata; Mammalia; Artiodactyla; Suidae.